GAAUAUCAUACUAUAGUGUAUAAAUUUUUAUGAAAAAUGUAUCGAAUUCCUUUAUUUUUAAUACGGAUUGAGGAAUAAAACCAUUUCUUGGUUAGAUAGUUUUAGUUUUCAUCUUAAUUCUUCAUUUCUUAAUACCUUUAUAGAAUGAUGCCCAAUUCAUCUAAUAGUAAUAUGGAGUACUAAAUUUCUCCCUCAUUGAAGUAGAUAUUCUCACUGCUGCAUAGAUCAAAUUAUUAUUCUAACAAAUUUUAUUAUAGAAUCAUUUCACUUGUAAUGUAAUUUUAAAAAACAAAUGUAAAAAGCAAAUAAGGAUACGUUGAAUACAAAUGGACAAAAUAUGCUCUUAUUUGGGAAAUUAUAAAAAAAUCAUAGACCUAGACGAUAAGAAGCCCGCAGAUAACAUAGCCCUGUCAUUUUUUUUCUCUCUAGAAUAUCCCUCUCUCAGUCUUAUCUAAUAAUAUACAUCUGAAUGAAUGAGACGCUGCCCAGACUCCAAAUCCUAUCUUUGCAGAUGCUUCCCGUCCCCUGCCAUGGCAGCUGUGUCAUUGUAAUUUGUAUUAUAUACGAAGCUGUCAUUGACAUGACAUCUCUAUCUCUUUUUAUCGAUAUUGUGCUUUGUGGGGAUUCUUUUUUUUUUUUUUUGGUUCACUUGUACUUCUCACAAGCCACAACACAUGCAAGCAUGAUGAAAUUUGCAGUAUCUACAGCUUCUAGCCGAUGCUCACAAUCACAUGCUAGUUUAGAAGUGUUGGGUGGCGCAGAAAUUUUGAAAUCUAAUAUGGGCUUUUAUGAAUUACCUUGAGAAAAGAUCAAAAGAAUAAUGGCUUAUAAUGAUCUACAGGCAAUUGAAUGUUUGUUAUACAAAUGAUAUAUACAUAUUUUUAUCAAUUAAACUAUUUUCAGAGCGGCUUCAGUAUUGUUGAUAAUAAAAUGUAUCAGAUCCCUAAUAAUUGAGUUAUCAUGAUUAAGAAUGGUUGUGAAAUAGAAUUAAACAAGAUCAGUAUUUUUAUCUCAAUUACCGUGACAUAAUCUAAUAAUCAAAUAUCACUUAACACAUGAUGACAAGUAAGAUUUAACACAUGAAAACAAGUAAGAUUUUUUAGCUGGCAGAUGAAUAUUUGUUUUCUUUUGUUAUUCCGGGUCUUGUCCUUCACAAGGAAUAAUUUAAAAAGGUUAUUUCUCUAACAAGAAAAAAGAAUAAAUAAAUUUUGUUAUUAAGUAACUUACAUUAUUGCAAAAUUAUUAUUAGAAAUUCAAGAAUAGUCUAAUUGAUUCUACUUUUAAAUAAUUAAUUAUAAUUUAAUGGUUAAUAUAAGUUUAUCAUAACGUAACUUAACAACACUAUUCUUAUGCUGCGUUUACUUUUUAGAUUGGAGUGGGAAUCCUGAGGAGUGGGAAUCCUUGGAUUAGGAGUGUGGAGUGGGAGUGAGAGUAGGGUAUUUACUUAGACUAAAUGAAAGUAUGGAUUAUCAAUUAGAAUCCUAAUUAUUUGUUUACUUUGUCUUGGAUUGUAAGUAAAUUGUUUUAAAUUAUAAU
This 1536-nucleotide long non-coding RNA is filed under the name Citrus x clementina. RNAcentral's name for it is "Citrus clementina (C. clementina) long non-coding RNA (CCLE_LNC001567)". Lineage: Eukaryota; Viridiplantae; Streptophyta; Magnoliopsida; Sapindales; Rutaceae. The record is from RNAcentral.